RNAcentral lists this ribosomal RNA (760 nucleotides) under uncultured bacterium. RNAcentral describes it as "bacterial SSU rRNA". It matches the Rfam family "Bacterial small subunit ribosomal RNA", at positions 28 to 803 of the family's 1533-position model. The record is from RNAcentral.
GAUGAACGCUGGCGGCGCGCCUAACACAUGCAAGUCGAACGAGUAAGACGCCUUCGGGCGUGGAUAGAGUGGCGAACGGGUGAGUAACACGUGACCAACCUGCCCCCUCCUCCGGGACAACCUCGGGAAACCGAGGCUAAUACCGGAUACUCCGGGCCCCCCGCAUGGGGAGCCCGGGAAAGCCCUGGCGGGAGGGGAUGGGGUCGCGGCCCAUCAGGUAGACGGCGGGGUAACGGCCCACCGUGCCUGCAACGGGUAGCCGGGCUGAGAGGCCGAUCGGCCACAUUGGGACUGAGACACGGCCCAGACUCCUACGGGAGGCAGCAGUGGGGAAUUUUGCGCAAUGGGGGCAACCCUGACGCAGCGGCGCCGCGUGCGGGACGAAGUCAUUCGUGACGUAAACCGCUUUCAGCGAGGAAGAACCAUGACGGUACUCGCAGAAGAAGCCCCGGCUAACUACGUGCCAGCAGCCGCGGCAAUACGUAGGGGGCGAGCGUUAUCCGGAAUCAUUGGGCGUAAAGCGCGCGCAGGCGGGCUUUCAAGCGGCGGCGUCGAAGCCGGGGGCUCAACCCCCGGAAGCGCCCCGAACUGGAAGCCUCGGAUGCGGCAGGGGGAGGCGGAAUUCCCGGUGUAGCGGUGAAAUGCGCAGAUAUCGGGAAGAACACCGACGGCGAAGGCAGCCUCCUGGGCCGGCAUCGACGCUGAGGCGCGAAAGCUCGAGGGAGCGAACAGGAUUAGAUACCCUGGUAGUCCCAGCCGU